GGCUGGAGAGGAUGGCUCAGUGGUUAAGAGCACUAACUGCUUUUCCAGAAGUCCUGAGUUCAAAUCCCAGCAGCCA
This 76-nucleotide transfer RNA is filed under the name Mus musculus (house mouse). Its description in RNAcentral is "tRNA-Ser". The record is from RNAcentral. Lineage: Eukaryota; Metazoa; Chordata; Mammalia; Rodentia; Muridae.